UACGAGGGGGGCAAAUGUUGUUCGGAAUCACUGGGCGUAAAGCGCGUGUAGGCGGCUCUGCAAGUCGGGUGUGAAAUCCCAUGGCUCAACCAUGGAAGUGCACUCGAAACUGCAGGGCUAGAGUCCUGGAGAGGAAGGUGGAAUGCUUGGUGUAGAGGUGAAAUUCGUAGAUAUCAAGCGGAACACCGGUGGCGAAGGCGGCCUUCUGGACAGUGACUGACGCUGAGGAGCGAAAGCGUGGGGAGCAAACAGG
Molecule: ribosomal RNA, 253 nt
Filed under: uncultured bacterium
Lineage: Bacteria
Description: partial 16S ribosomal RNA
Rfam family: Bacterial small subunit ribosomal RNA
Source: RNAcentral